RNAcentral lists this unclassified non-coding RNA (890 nucleotides) under Hevea brasiliensis (rubber tree). The record is from RNAcentral. Lineage: Eukaryota; Viridiplantae; Streptophyta; Magnoliopsida; Malpighiales; Euphorbiaceae.
GAGUACCUUUAGAAGCGAUAGAUUUCGUGAUAGGAGCAAUGACAGGGAUUCAUUCAGAAAGGAAAAAGAUGGCCAGGAUGACUUUAAAAAGUCAGAUUGGGCUACUAAGCAGGAUUAUGGCAAGGGGUCUGCACAAAACAGCGGCAAGGACAACGGUAAAACAUCAUUUAGUACAUCAAAGCCAUCAAAGAAGUCGAAUGACUCUGCAAACCAGACUUCCUCCUUCAGUGCUAGUACCCCUACAAAUAAUUCUGACGAAGAUUUUGAUGAUUUUGAUCCUCGUGGGACUUCAACCACCACCACCACAAAAGCUGCUGCACCAAGCCCCAAUGGGGUGGAUCUUUUUGGAGACAGUUUACUUGGAGAUCUCAUGGAUGCCCCAACUCUUGUUCCUCCUGGAAAGGCAGACAGCAGUUCUCCGGAGGUUGAUCUGUUUGCAGAUGCCACUUUUGUAUCAGCUUCAGCGCAAGUGGAAAAGGAACCCAGUUCCCCGUUGAAGGCUACUGAGGUUGAUUUGUUUGCUUCGCAACCUGCUUCAGUUUCUGCAACGGUCGACUUUUUUGCCUCUCCUGAGCCAGUGGUACAAAAAGAAACCGACUUUGCUAGUGCAGCAAGAGACAGUAAAGCUUCACAACCUGCAUCAGCCUCUACAACAAUUGACUUUUUUGCUUCUUCUGAGCCAGUUGUGCGAACAGAAACUAACUUUGCGGGUGCAGCAAGAGACAUUAAAGCUUCACAACCUGGUUCAGUUUCUGCAUCAAUUGACUUUUUUGCCUCUCCUGAGCCGGUUGUGCAAACAGAAACCAAGUUUGCCGGCGCAGCAAGAGACAGUAAAGCUGUGGAUCCAUUUGCUGCCCUUCCACUUAACUCUUUUGAUGGAUCAGAUCUUU